GUCUACGGCCAUGCCACUCUGAACAAGCCUGAUCCUGUCUGAUUUCGGAAGCUAAGCAGGGUCGGGCCUGGCUAGUACUUGGAUGGAAGACUAGGUGCUGUAGGUG
Molecule: ribosomal RNA, 106 nt
Filed under: Pteropus alecto (black flying fox)
Lineage: Eukaryota; Metazoa; Chordata; Mammalia; Chiroptera; Pteropodidae
Source: RNAcentral